UGUAAGGGUAUACCCUUGUAAGUAUUUUGUAUGUGCUUUUUUGGGUUGUUAUUUAAAU
Molecule: transfer RNA, 58 nt
Filed under: Syphacia obvelata
Lineage: Eukaryota; Metazoa; Nematoda; Chromadorea; Rhabditida; Oxyuridae
Description: tRNA-Ala
Source: RNAcentral